RNAcentral lists this unclassified non-coding RNA (354 nucleotides) under soil metagenome. RNAcentral describes it as "partial contains 5.8S ribosomal RNA, internal transcribed spacer 2, and large subunit ribosomal RNA". The stretch from base 1 to 120 matches the Rfam family "5.8S ribosomal RNA", at positions 35 to 154 of the family's 154-position model. The record is from RNAcentral.
GAUGAAGAACGCAGCAAAAUGCGAUAAGUAGUGUGAAUUGCAGAAUUCAGUGAAUCAUCGAAUCUUUGAACGCACAUUGCGCCCCCUGGCAUUCCGGGGGGCAUGCCUGUCCGAGCGUCAUUUCUGCCCUCCAGCCCGGCUGGGUGUUGGGCGCUGUCCCCCCGGGGACACGCCCCAAAGGCAGUGGCGGCGCCGCGUCGGGUCCUCGAGCGUAUGGGGCUUUGUCACCCGCUCGGGACGGACUCGUCGGCGCUGGUCUUCCUCCAGGCGACCCUUCGGGGCUCGUCUUCCUUCGGUUGACCUCGGAUCAGGUAGGGUUACCCGCUGAACUUAAGCAUAUCAAUAAGCGGAGGA